Molecule: transfer RNA, 85 nt
Filed under: Enterobacter cloacae
Lineage: Bacteria; Pseudomonadati; Pseudomonadota; Gammaproteobacteria; Enterobacterales; Enterobacteriaceae
Also listed under: 3 other names
Description: tRNA-Leu
Rfam family: tRNA
About the family: Transfer RNA (tRNA) molecules are approximately 80 nucleotides in length. Their secondary structure includes four short double-helical elements and three loops (D, anti-codon, and T loops).
Source: RNAcentral
GGUGGGAUGGCGGAGUGGCUGAACGCAGCGCCCUAAGAAAGCGUAGACCGGAAACGGUCCGGGGGUUCGAAUCCCCCUCCCUUUU